This 551-nucleotide ribosomal RNA is filed under the name uncultured archaeon. Its description in RNAcentral is "bacterial SSU rRNA". It matches the Rfam family "Archaeal small subunit ribosomal RNA", at positions 326 to 879 of the family's 1478-position model. The record is from RNAcentral.
CGGGGUGCAGCGGGCGCGAAACCUUCGCAAUGCGCGAAAGCGUGACGAGGCUAGUCCGAGUGCUUCCUGCUAAAGGGAGCUUUUCUCGGCUGUAAAUAGGCCGGGGAAUAAGGGGAGGGCAAGUCUGGUGUCAGCCGCCGCGGUAAUACCAGCUCCUCGAGUGGUCGGGACGAUUAUUGGGCCUAAAGCACCCGUAGCCGGUUCCGUAAGUCCUCUGUUAAAUCCAGUCGCUCAACGGCUGGUCUGCAGAGGAUACUGCGGGACUAGGAGGCGGGAGAGGCGGACGGUACUCCGCGUGUAGGGGUAAAAUCCUUUGAUCCGCGGAAGACCACCAGUGGCGAAGGCGGUCUGCCAGAACGCGCUCGACGGUGAGGGGUGAAAGCUGGGGGAGCGAACCGGAUUAGAUACCCGGGUAGUCCCAGCCGUAAACGAUGCGAGCUAGGUGAUUCGAUCGCAGUUCGCGAUCGAAGUGUCGCAGGGAAGCCGUUAAGCUCGCCGCCUGGGGAGUACGGUCGCAAGGCUGGAUCGUAAAGGAAUUGGCGGGGGAGCAC